This 369-nucleotide ribosomal RNA is filed under the name uncultured bacterium. RNAcentral's name for it is "bacterial SSU rRNA". It matches the Rfam family "Bacterial small subunit ribosomal RNA", at positions 527 to 896 of the family's 1533-position model. The record is from RNAcentral.
GUAGGGUGCGAGCGUUAAUCGGAAUUACUGGGCGUAAAGCGUGCGUAGGCGGUUCGUUAAGUUCGUCGUGAAAGCCCCGGGCUCAACCUGGGAAUGGCGAUGGAAACUGGCGGGCUGGAGUCUGGCAGAGGGGGGUGGAAUUCCGCGUGUAGCAGUGAAAUGCGUAGAGAUGCGGAGGAACACCGAUGGCGAAGGCAGCCCCCUGGGCCAAGACUGACGCUCAGGCACGAAAGCGUGGGGAGCAAACAGGAUUAGAUACCCUGGUAGUCCACGCCCUAAACGAUGCUCACUAGGUGUUGGGGAAGCGAUUCCUUGGUACCGUAGCUAACGCGUGAAGUGAGCCGCCUGGGGAGUACGGCCGCAAGGUUA